UCCAUUAUUAAUUGUGAUAAUAACAGAUGGGCGUAUUUUUCUUACUCCACCUAGAAUUUCAGGUGAAUUAAAUGAAAAUAAUGAUGUUAUGAAGGAAAAUUCCAACGGAAAUAGAGGAUUUGAAACUUUGCAGUUCACAUUAUUGAAUUUUCUUUGUUUUUUUCUAUUACCACAGAGGUGAUUAGUAGGACAAUCAAAGAUACUGACUUUUCUCUUUCUAAACUUUUUUCUCUCACCUCUUUCUAGAAAACCUUAGAAAUCACCACCUCCUCCGCUCCGACGGUUGUCACAUCCUCUUUGCGGUCGUCGGAGGCUCUGGUCACUGUGUUUCUUCUUCUCCUUGUUCUUCUCUGUAAUCCAUGUCUUUUGCAGCGGAGGGUAGCUUGACGAGUCGACCUCUCCGGUUCAGAUCUAGGGUUUCCGUCGUAGAUCUAGGAGGUUCUCGGUGCUGUGGCUGGGUCCUUGAGGAUGGCUCUCGUCUCGUCGCAGCUGUCUUCUCUUUCGAUGGCCGGUCUCUGUUCACUGAAAGUUUUAGAUCUCGUUUCAGCUCUUCAGGAUAGGUGGUGGGUGAGUCGUCGGCGGUAUAUCCAAGGUAUUCUCUCCUCCUUCGGUGUGGCUUUUGAUUGUCGUGGGAAUGGGUCUCUCUUGGCGGUCCGAUUGGAGGUCUGCUUCAGUCUCAAACUAGGGUUUUGUUUUCCACUGGUGAUCUCUGGUGGGUGGCGUGGAGUUUUCUGAGGUUGGAUCUAGACUCUCCUCACGGGGUUCUCUUGUGGCGGCGCUCUGUUGUUAGCUUCAGUUCUCUACUUUGGAACCUUAGUUACCGAUGGUGUGGCGCUCCUCGCCCCUGUCUUUCCUCCUUGGACUCUUCACAGGGGUUGUGUACCCUUCCAGUCCUUCUGUUCUAUAUGAACUUUCAGUUAAAAGGGUGUAUACGGUCAUGGGUGGAAGGUUUGGAGGCGGCAAUCUACAACGACAGCAUCGUCGGAUGGUGUCAUUACCUCGUGCCGCUGCUUGUAGUUCGUGUCGAGUAGCUACCCUGUCCGUGCUUUGUGAUUCUUUGGAUUGGUUUGUGUUCGGUGGGUCCUUUGGAAGCUGUAGGCACAGUGCAUCCAAGGUUUGAGGACACCUUUCUCUUGGGCUCGUGGCAACCGACAUGUCUCUUCCCGCGCCAUUCCAGUCUCCUUGGUCUGAGCUCGCCUCGUUGCCUUCUGUUUCUUUGACUUCAUAUAUCUCCUUUUUUGUGAUCUUGUUAUUGUGUUGUUGCUUGCUGUUUAGUUUCAAUUUAUGCUUCUCUUCUACUAGUUUCUUUGUAAGCUUCUGUCAAAAAUCAAAAACUUGUAUAAUAAAUUUAACAUUUUACCAAAAAAAAUAUUAAGUUAGUAGACUUAUAAGUUAUAGGUUAUAACUCAAAA
Long non-coding RNA from Raphanus sativus (radish), 1412 nucleotides. RefSeq lists it as uncharacterized. Lineage: Eukaryota; Viridiplantae; Streptophyta; Magnoliopsida; Brassicales; Brassicaceae. The record is from RefSeq and is a predicted model, not a curated record. The transcript is spliced from 2 exons.